GGUGAGAUGGCCGAGUUGGUUAUGGCGCCAGGUUAAGGUCCUGGUGGAGCAAUCCUCAUGGGUUCGAAUCCCAUUCUCAUCA
Molecule: transfer RNA, 82 nt
Filed under: Beauveria bassiana
Lineage: Eukaryota; Fungi; Ascomycota; Sordariomycetes; Hypocreales; Cordycipitaceae
Also listed under: 5 other names
Description: tRNA-Phe
Rfam family: tRNA
About the family: Transfer RNA (tRNA) molecules are approximately 80 nucleotides in length. Their secondary structure includes four short double-helical elements and three loops (D, anti-codon, and T loops). Further hydrogen bonds mediate the characteristic L-shaped molecular structure. tRNAs have two regions of fundamental functional importance: the anti-codon, which is responsible for specific mRNA codon recognition, and the 3' end, to which the tRNAs corresponding amino acid is attached (by aminoacyl-tRNA synthetases). tRNAs cope with the degeneracy of the genetic code in two manners: having more than one tRNA (with a specific anti-codon) for a particular amino acid; and 'wobble' base-pairing, i.e. permitting non-standard base-pairing at the 3rd anti-codon position.
Source: RNAcentral